UUGGAAGAUGGAUGCAGGGAUGGAAGGCUACGGUCGUACCCAAUUUGGAGGGAAUUACCUGCAAAUCCAAAACCCUAAGUUAAAAAGAAUAUUAAAAAAUGGAAUUCAUUUUGAUAGGUUCAAUGAUUGAAAUAGUGCAGUGGGUAAGGAAACGAGGAAAAGAAUAAACUAAGACAUUUGGUUUUCAUUCAUACCUUUCCCAAAUGGUGAAAGGAAGAUUAUCUACAACCUUAGAGGGGGAAGGGCUCAUGAUUGGAACACAUCUCUACUUACCCUACCAUUGGAUGAAACCAACACUUACAAGGAAAAGAUAAAACACCAUAAAGGAUAGCUACCUAAUAUUCUAAUAUCCUAACAAUCCUGCCCCUUAGAAAGAGCUUGCCCUCAAGCGUUGAAAUCCGAAAAGCGUUCAAUAAUGGCAUCGACAUCCUCCCAAGUAGCAUCAUGUUUAGGUAAACCUAACCAUUUAAUCAGCCAAUGCAUGACAACACGAUUCAUGCGCUUGAACAUGCCGCGCUGCAGAAUUGUUUCUGAUGUCCAAGCCACAAGUCCUUUGUCGGG
RNAcentral lists this long non-coding RNA (561 nucleotides) under Malus domestica (apple). RNAcentral describes it as "long non-coding RNA (MDOM_LNC013133)". The record is from RNAcentral. Lineage: Eukaryota; Viridiplantae; Streptophyta; Magnoliopsida; Rosales; Rosaceae.